RNAcentral lists this ribosomal RNA (253 nucleotides) under uncultured bacterium. Its description in RNAcentral is "partial 16S ribosomal RNA". It matches the Rfam family "Bacterial small subunit ribosomal RNA", at positions 524 to 776 of the family's 1533-position model. The record is from RNAcentral.
UACGUAGGGUGCAAGCGUUAAUCGGAAUUACUGGGCGUAAAGCGUGCGCAGGCGGUUUUGUAAGUCUGUCGUGAAAGCCCCGGGCUCAACCUGGGAAUUGCGAUGGAGACUGCAAGGCUUGAAUCUGACAGAGGGGGGUAGAAUUCCACGUGUAGCAGUGAAAUGCGUAGAGAUGUGGAGGAACGCCGAUGGCGAAGGCAGCCCCCUGGGUCAAGAUUGACGCUCAUGCACGAAAGCGUGGGGAGCAAACAGG